GUGGGGAAUAUUGGGCAAUGGGCGAAAGCCUGACCCAGCAACGCCGCGUGAAGGAAGAAGGUCUUCGGAUCGUAAACUUCUAUCCUUGGUGAAGAUAAUGACGGUAGCCGAGAAGGAAGCCCCGGCUAACUACGUGCCAGCAGCCGCGGUAAUACGUAGGGGGCAAGCGUUGUCCGGAAUGAUUGGGCGUAAAGGGCGCGUAGGCGGCCUGGUAAGUCUGGAGUGAAAGUCCUGCUUUUAAGGUGGGAAUUGCUUUGGAUACUGUCGGGCUUGAGUGCAGGAGAGGUAAGUGGAAUUCCCGGUGUAGUGGUGAAAUGCGUAGAGAUCGGGAGGAACACCAGUGGCGAAGGCGACUUACUGGACUGUAACUGACGCUGAGGCGCGAAAGUGUGGGGAGCAAACAGGAUUAGAAACCCCGGUAGUCC
This 425-nucleotide ribosomal RNA is filed under the name uncultured bacterium. Its description in RNAcentral is "partial 16S ribosomal RNA". It matches the Rfam family "Bacterial small subunit ribosomal RNA", at positions 354 to 796 of the family's 1533-position model. The record is from RNAcentral.